Molecule: long non-coding RNA, 913 nt
Organism: Cannabis sativa
Lineage: Eukaryota; Viridiplantae; Streptophyta; Magnoliopsida; Rosales; Cannabaceae
Exons: 2
Source: RefSeq, a predicted model, not a curated record
AUGUUAUACUUGAGCUACCCAACCCAACCUCCCUAAUUAUCCUCAUUUUGUUCUUACCAAAUAAACCCAUUUCAACCCAUAAAUAGAGACUUCGUUACACAUGACCCACAUUAAAAUGUCCACCAUAUUAGUUGGGCAUUUGGGUAAACUACUUUGUAAAAUCUAACAUAUGAAAUAUGUUUGUGUAAACUGAUCACCCUAACCCACCACAUCCUUGUCACUAACCCAUAUUUAUUAUAUAAUAUGAGUGUAGAUUCAAAACUCUUAUAUGGAUAUAAAUAUCUUCCAUGGGAACCAUAAAUUAUAAACUAGAAGAAGGUUCAGAAAAUCCACUUUCUGAUUCGGACACUACCCAUUUUUUAUUUAUUUAUUUUUAUAUAUACAUAAAAGAUGAACCAAAAAAACUAUAUUUAUAUUUUUAAUAUUGGCAGCAUGUAAUAAUAAUAAUACGUUGUCGUUUAACGUUGAGCAAACGACCAUAAGAAAUAUAAAAAAAGAAAAAAAAAUCUGAAAAUAAAAUAAAUUAAUAUCCUUGAGAGAAAAUAUUAAGCAGUUACUGUUAGAACAUAACGGUUUACAUUUUGCCCAUGCCAAAACCCCAUUUUGCCCCUUCCUCUAUUUUCUAUGAUUAGAGAACGAAAAAAGAAAAGAAAAAUACUACUAAAAAAAGUGCUAUUUUCACUCCAUUUUCCUUGUCUACUUUUUUCACAAUCACAAACGAGUUCUUUGUGGAUCACAAAUCCAAAUACAUAACUCAAAAUCAACCAAAAUUUCUAGCAUUAAAAAAAAAUGGAGAGCAAAUAGCACCACUUCCAAAAGAAAAAAAAAGAACUAGUUAACAUAAUACAAAUACUCCUAAAAAAAAAGAAGAGAAGAAAAAGAAGAAGAAGAAGAAAAAGAAGAAGAAGAUGUU